GACGAACGCUGGCGGCGUGCUUAACACAUGCAAGUCGAACGGUAAGGCCCCUUCGGGGGUACACGAGUGGCGAACGGGUGAGUAACACGUGGGUGAUCUGCCCUGCACUUCGGGAUAAGCCUGGGAAACUGGGUCUAAUACCGGAUAGGACCACGCUCUGCAUGGAGUGUGGUGGAAAGCUUUUGCGGUGUGGGAUGGGCCCGCGGCCUAUCAGCUUGUUGGUGGGGUGAUGGCCUACCAAGGCGACGACGGGUAGCCGGCCUGAGAGGGUGUCCGGCCACACUGGGACUGAGAUACGGCCCAGACUCCUACGGGUGGCAGCAGUGGGGAAUAUUGCACAAUGGGCGCAAGCCUGAUGCAGCGACGCCGCGUGGGGGAUGACGGCCUUCGGGUUGUAAACCUCUUUCAGUACCGACGAAGCGCAAGUGACGGUAGGUACAGAAGAAGCACCGGCCAACUACGUG
This 464-nucleotide ribosomal RNA is filed under the name uncultured bacterium. RNAcentral's name for it is "partial 16S ribosomal RNA". It matches the Rfam family "Bacterial small subunit ribosomal RNA", at positions 28 to 507 of the family's 1533-position model. The record is from RNAcentral.